UUAUGAAAUACAUAAUUUUAUUAAAAGUUAUGUAUAUAUAAUUUAAAUGAACACUAUAUGGUAGUUCUUGUGCACAGAUCUCAGCUAUUAUGUAGUGUUGUAGGUUUGAAAACAGUCUCUCUGCUAUAAACUAUUCUUGUUAUCUUUUUCCAAUUAUUUCCCCUGAACCAACAGUUGACGUUCCAACCUCGAGACCAAAGAAUCUAU
Molecule: long non-coding RNA, 207 nt
Filed under: Mytilus galloprovincialis (Mediterranean mussel)
Lineage: Eukaryota; Metazoa; Mollusca; Bivalvia; Mytilida; Mytilidae
Source: RNAcentral